Long non-coding RNA from Salvelinus namaycush (lake trout), 205 nucleotides. RefSeq lists it as uncharacterized. Lineage: Eukaryota; Metazoa; Chordata; Actinopteri; Salmoniformes; Salmonidae. The transcript has 3 exons. The record is from RefSeq and is a predicted model, not a curated record.
GGAGAAGAGAAGAAAGGAUCAGAUUUGACACAUCAAAACAUUGACCAGGAGAGUGACACAGAAGGAAUGGAUGAGGACUCUGUGAGUGACCACAGUUAUGAUUCCAGCGCGGAAGAAAUGUUUUUGGAAGGAAAAGAUCCACUUUUAGACCAUGCCAGGGACUCGGAUGAACAAUGGGAACCCACAAUGUCAAGGUGUCCAUCCC